Molecule: ribosomal RNA, 495 nt
Filed under: halophilic archaeon
Lineage: Archaea; Methanobacteriati; Methanobacteriota; Halobacteria; Halobacteriales
Description: bacterial SSU rRNA
Rfam family: Archaeal small subunit ribosomal RNA
Source: RNAcentral
CUUGGUCUAUGUCCGCACGAGUUCAGACUCGUAGCAUAUAGCUCAGUAACACGUGGCCAAACUACCCUACAGACCGCAAUAACCUCGGGAAACUGAGGCCAAUAGCGGAUAUAACUCUCAGGCUGGAGUGCCGAGAGUUGAAACGUUCCGGCGCUGUAGGAUGUGGCUGCGGCCGAUUAGGUAGAUGGUGGGGUAACGGCCCACCAUGCCGAUAAUCGGUACAGGUUGUGAGAGCAAGAGCCUGGAGACGGUAUCUGAGACAAGAUACCGGGCCCUACGGGGCGCAGCAGGCGCGAAACCUUUACACUGCACGACAGUGCGAUAGGGGGACUCCGAGUGUGAGGGCAUAUAGCCCUCGCUUUUCUGUACCGUAAGGUGGUACAGGAACAAGGACUGGGCAAGACCGGUGCCAGCCGCCGCGGUAAUACCGGCAGUCCAAGUGAUGGCCGAUAUUAUUGGGCCUAAAGCGUCCGUAGCUAUUCCGGUUGAUCCUGC